Molecule: ribosomal RNA, 808 nt
Filed under: Providencia rettgeri
Lineage: Bacteria; Pseudomonadati; Pseudomonadota; Gammaproteobacteria; Enterobacterales; Morganellaceae
Description: partial 23S ribosomal RNA
Rfam family: Bacterial large subunit ribosomal RNA
Source: RNAcentral
UUCGACUAUUCGACUAGGGGGUCAUCCCGACUUACCAACUCGAUGCAAACUACGAAUACCGAAGAAUGUUAUCACGGGAGACACACGGCGGGUGCUAACGUUCGUCGUGAAGAGGGAAACAACCCAGACCGCCAGCUAAGGUCCCAAAGUCAUAGUUAAGUGGGAAACGAAGUGGGAAGGCUCAGACAGCCAGGAUGUUGGCUUAGAAGCAGCCAUCAUUUAAAGAAAGCGUAAUAGCUCACUGGUCGAGUCGGCCUGCGCGGAAGAUGUAACGGGGCUAAACUAUGCACCGAAGCUGCGGCAGCGAACGUAUCACUUAAACUGAUUAAGUGAUACUCAAAUGUAUCAAAACGAUUGACGGAGCGAAGCGACGUCAAUGCGUCCAACAAAGUCGAGGCGGAAACGUCAGGCAGUCAGUUUAAGGAUACGUUCGUUGGGUAGGGGAGCGUUCUGUAAGCCUGUGAAGGUGUGCUGUGAGGCAUGCUGGAGGUAUCAGAAGUGCGAAUGCUGACAUAAGUAACGAUAAUGCGGGUGAAAAACCCGCACGCCGGAAGACCAAGGGUUCCUGUCCAACGUUAAUCGGGGCAGGGUGAGUCGACCCCUAAGGCGAGGCAGAAAUGCGUAGUCGAUGGGAAACGGGUUAAUAUUCCCGUACUGGUGAUAAUUGCGAUGGGGGGACGGAGAAGGCUAGGCUAUCCGGGCGACGGUUGUCCCGGUUUAAGGAUGUAGGCAGGUGAAUUAGGCAAAUCCGGUUCACUAUAUGCUGAGGUCCGACGACGAGUCACUACGGUGAUGAAGUAGCUCAUGC